CAGGUAUUCUUAGUGGGGACACUUUUUUCAUUUAAUCCACCCCUUUCUUGUUUAGGUUACAGUUGUAAAUAUGACUAAUUUUUUUUUUUUUAACUAGGAAAGAGACAACAAUGAGAAUCUUAGGGGAGAAUGUUAACAGUGAAGUAGCUGGAACUUCAUCUAUUUCGAGAGUCCUGUGAGCAGGUUGGAUCUCUAUGGUUACAAGUGAAAGAACCAGAAACUAGUGGGUUCUUUUAUCACAGAGACAUGAUUUCUCAGUCACCUUUCUCAUUGUUCUGAGAAGCCGGGCAGAAAAAGAAGAAAAUGAAUGAUGAGGCAAGAGUUGGUGAAAUUGGGUUUCUGAAAUUCCCUUCAUUAAUGGGUUCAACUGAGUUAAUCAUUUUGUAA
Molecule: long non-coding RNA, 387 nt
Filed under: Rhinopithecus bieti (black snub-nosed monkey)
Lineage: Eukaryota; Metazoa; Chordata; Mammalia; Primates; Cercopithecidae
Description: lncRNA (ENSRBIG00000045091.1)
Source: RNAcentral